This 492-nucleotide ribosomal RNA is filed under the name uncultured bacterium. Its description in RNAcentral is "partial 16S ribosomal RNA". It matches the Rfam family "Bacterial small subunit ribosomal RNA", at positions 29 to 507 of the family's 1533-position model. The record is from RNAcentral.
AGUGAACGCUGGCGGUAGGCCUAACACAUGCAAGUCGAACGGCAGCACAGUAAGAGCUUGCUCUUACGGGUGGCGAGUGGCGGACGGGUGAGGAAUACAUCGGAAUCUACUUUUUCGUGGGGGAUAACGUAGGGAAACUUACGCUAAUACCGCAUACGACCUACGGGUGAAAGCAGGGGAUCUUCGGACCUUGCGCGAUUGAAUGAGUCGAUGUCGGAUUAGCUAGUUGGCGGGGUAAAGGCCCACCAAGGCGACGAUCCGUAGCUGGUCUGAGAGGAUGAUCAGCCACACUGGAACUGAGACACGGUCCAGACUCCUACGGGAGGCAGCAGUGGGGAAUAUUGGACAAUGGGCGCAAGCCUGAUCCAGCCAUACCGCGUGGGUGAAGAAGGCCUUCGGGCUGUAAAGCCCUUUUGUUGGGAAAGAAAAGCAGCAGGUUAAUACCCCGCUGUUCUGACGGUACCCAAAGAAUAAGCACCGGCUAACUUCGUG